UGCACUAGUUUAUUUUGUUUAAGCGAUGGAGGGACGCAGGAGGCUAAGGAAAGCGCACGGCUGGAAAAGUGCGUCCAAGCCGCAAGUCUGGUGGCGAGUGAAAUGCUUGCGACCAUAAGGACAAGCGGUGAUGGGGAGCGAAAUUAAAGUAGCGAAGUUCCUGAUGUCACACUGCCAAGAAAAGCUUCUAGUGAGAAAUAAACUACCCGUACCGCAAACCGACACAGGUAGUCGAGGAGAGUAUCCUCAGGUGAGCGAGCGAACUCUCGUUA
RNAcentral lists this ribosomal RNA (272 nucleotides) under Lacticaseibacillus casei. RNAcentral describes it as "Lactobacillus casei partial 23S ribosomal RNA". It matches the Rfam family "Bacterial large subunit ribosomal RNA", at positions 1440 to 1707 of the family's 2925-position model. Lineage: Bacteria; Bacillati; Bacillota; Bacilli; Lactobacillales; Lactobacillaceae. The record is from RNAcentral.